AGAAAAAGUGAGCUCAGGUUCAUGAAUCUGAGGGUUCGUGCUAAUCCAAUUCUCUCUCCGUAGACCUCAGGCUCUGAGGUAGUGUCGUUCUUGAACUGGUAUCAAGAAGGAAAGGGUCAUUACUUGCCACUACCUUACAUUCCAUCAACACAAUCAGAUGCUGAUGCUGAAGUAAAAGGCCACUCCAAAUCUGGAAACUGCUGUUUCUGAAAGCACAAUAGAGGAUCCGAGACAAUGGUCAUUUGUGUGGCGUUUCUGACUCAUGUAACAUUCUUUGAUGCAGGAUUGUAUAACACACUUCUUCUGUCACUUGUGUGCCAUUUGCCAAGAAUACAGAGUGAUUCGAGAACGUAGAAACAGCUCAUAAGUCAUAUCCUCCUAACAUGAAGAUGGCAAUCACCGAUGCCCCCUUGGCUGAAACCAUGGAAUCAACCAACUAACUGAUCACUCUGAAGAAGACAUUUUUCUUGUCAUCGACUUUUGCAAUGUAUUUGAGAAGUUGAACGAGUAAAGUAAAACUUUCUAAGGUUAUAAGUUUAUAAAAGGUAAAAAAAGUUACAGCA
Long non-coding RNA from Arabidopsis lyrata subsp. lyrata, 563 nucleotides. RefSeq lists it as uncharacterized. The record is from RefSeq and is a predicted model, not a curated record. Lineage: Eukaryota; Viridiplantae; Streptophyta; Magnoliopsida; Brassicales; Brassicaceae. The transcript is spliced from 2 exons.